CCCCGCGUGUUCUCUCUCUCGUCCCCGAGCUCUUGCUCUCUCUCUCUCACCUCUGCAACUCCGGUUGCUUUCUCUUUCCGGCCACCAAAAAGCGUAAAACCGGUGGCUACGGACUCGUCUCGACCUCCUCUUGGUGCCUGCGGUGAUGGCUCAUGGCGGCUUGGCCGGAAAAUGACGCAUCGAGCUGUGGAAGUUUCACUGUAGCAGAAGUGGUCAACGCCAGUUUCUCCCGAUUCCGGCCACCUCCGGCGACGAACCAUAAUCAUUUGGAAGCGCCUUGCGAUGUAGAUGAUGCUCCCCAAAUAUUUUGCAGCGAUUUGAAGCGUGGAGGAAGAAUUGAAGGGCAAUGUUGCGAGCUACGGCUAGAUGAAGGAACUCGUUUGCGUGGUCGCCCAUUAGUACUUUUGCAGGCGCUAUUAGUUGAGGUCGGGCGUACAUGGAUCGAGACAUAGUUGACGAAUAGCUUCCGCGCUUCUUUGUUUGGCUCUGAUCUAUUGUGGGUUACUAUUUUGGGUAGUCCUCUUUAGGGGUGACUCGACCAGUUCUCGGUAGAGUUAUCUCUAAGGUGGGCCCCGCAGGGCCACCUCGGAUUUCAGGGUGAAAUUCGGGGCGGGUCCUGUCAAUUUGGUAUCAGAGCAUUAGGUUGUUAGGUUCUGUAGACUCGUUUCUAUUCUGUUACCUUAUAUGCUUGGUGUUGCCCAGUACCUCUCGAGUGAUGGCCCGACUGCAGCGGUUCCCCAUCGUGUACUCUUCGGUACUGUGGUAUACAUCAAGUGUGUAAGGUACAAAGCUAGUUGGUUUUCUUCUGGUGCUAUGCCUCUUGUACGCCGACCUCCUAGGGUUUCCUUUGUGUAUUCGAUUGAUUAAGUGUCUUGCGCCUAUCCCUGGUGAUGGUAGAGUAAAACUACUCUAGAGUUUCGAGUUGUACUACGAAAUGUGAUUCGAGGAAAAUGUUGUGGUUGUCUUUUCCUCGUUGCCAACCAUUUUGUUGGGGCAUGGAUUAUGGUGCGGAAACCAGAGUUCAAGUUUGUGUUUGAGUGUCUGAGACGAGUGACGAUAGCUUUGGGCUGCCUCUGGAUGAUAUAAUUGUUUCGGAAUCAGGAUCGUUGGUGGGAUUGGAACUAAUGGUGGUUUUGACUUGGAACCAAGUUUCGAGGAAACGUGUUUUGUGUUGUGAUUGGUUGUUAUGUAGCAUUUGAAAUAUUAUUGGAAGUUUUUGGUGAUUCUUUGGGAACCUCAGUGUUGGAAACCAUUUACAAGAGGAAAUUGAAUAAAUAUUUUGAAUUUUUAUGGCUAGAUGCCGUGUUUUCAAGUGACUAUGGUCACUGAUAAUGGUGGAGUAUUCUAGUGGUGAUUAAUUCGAGGAAAUUGGAUCGUUAUGUGGUGGGACCACUUUCGGAUCCGAGUGUUGUGGUGUUUGAUACAAGAUAUUGGACGAGUGCCAUUUGUUCUCUAUCAUGGAUACCGUUUAUGGAAGACUUGGUGAAUGGUGUUUUGUCGUCCGGGAAAAUUGUUUGUUGUUUGAGUUUAAUACAUGUAGAGGA
Molecule: long non-coding RNA, 1544 nt
Organism: Rosa rugosa (rugosa rose)
Lineage: Eukaryota; Viridiplantae; Streptophyta; Magnoliopsida; Rosales; Rosaceae
Exons: 3
Source: RefSeq, a predicted model, not a curated record